CUUCCACUUGUGCAGGGCUCAGCAUCCCUGAGGCCUCAACUCCUUAUCCAUCCUGGGGUGCUGUCGCAGUAAACCCUCUCCUCAGGGUCCUGGCCUUCUACCUCCAGGCCCU
Carlito syrichta (Philippine tarsier) is the source of this 112-nucleotide unclassified non-coding RNA. Lineage: Eukaryota; Metazoa; Chordata; Mammalia; Primates; Tarsiidae. The record is from Ensembl.